GAUGAACGCUGGCGGCGUGCCUAAUACAUGCAAGUCGAGCGAACGGACGAGAAGCUUGCUUCUCUGAUGUUAGCGGCGGACGGGUGAGUAACACGUGGAUAACCUACCUAUAAGACUGGGAUAACUUCGGGAAACCGGAUCUAAUACCGGAUAAUAUUUUGAACCGCAUGGUUCAAAAGUGAAAGACGGUCUUGCUGUCACUUAUAGAUGGAUCCGCGCUGCAUUAGCUAGUUGGUAAGGUAACGGCUUACCAAGGGAACGAUGCAUAGCCGACGUGACAGGGGGUAGGGCCACACAGGAGCUGAGCGACGGUCCAGGCACCGAGGGGAGGCAGAGGUAGGGAAGGUAGGGAGCAGGGGGAAAGAUUGACGGAGGGACGCCGGGCGGGUGAUGAAGGGCUUCGGGUGGGAAAACGGUGUUAGGGGGGAAGAACAUAUGUGGAAGGAACGGUGCGCAUCUUGACGGUACCUAAGCAGAAGGCCCCGGCUAACUCGGG
This 496-nucleotide ribosomal RNA is filed under the name uncultured bacterium. RNAcentral's name for it is "partial 16S ribosomal RNA". It matches the Rfam family "Bacterial small subunit ribosomal RNA", at positions 28 to 506 of the family's 1533-position model. The record is from RNAcentral.